This 77-nucleotide transfer RNA is filed under the name Bacillota bacterium. RNAcentral's name for it is "tRNA-Pro". It matches the Rfam family "tRNA". From Rfam's summary of the family: Transfer RNA (tRNA) molecules are approximately 80 nucleotides in length. Their secondary structure includes four short double-helical elements and three loops (D, anti-codon, and T loops). Further hydrogen bonds mediate the characteristic L-shaped molecular structure. tRNAs have two regions of fundamental functional importance: the anti-codon, which is responsible for specific mRNA codon recognition, and the 3' end, to which the tRNAs corresponding amino acid is attached (by aminoacyl-tRNA synthetases). tRNAs cope with the degeneracy of the genetic code in two manners: having more than one tRNA (with a specific anti-codon) for a particular amino acid; and 'wobble' base-pairing, i.e. permitting non-standard base-pairing at the 3rd anti-codon position. The record is from RNAcentral. Lineage: Bacteria; Bacillati; Bacillota. RNAcentral also lists the same sequence under 1 other name.
CGGGAAGUGGCUCAGCUUGGUAGAGCACUAGACUGGGGGUCUAGGGGUCGCGGGUUCAAAUCCCGUCUUUCCGACCA